UAGCGCUUGAAGCACUUUACCCAAAUCAAGUCCCUUUCGUAUCACUCCUUCCCGGCCUUUCCUACGUAUCCACUCGAAUGCUGAAAGUUGGAGCUCCUUACCCAAAGACUGGGCGGAAGGGGUGACCGCCCUGGACCCCUGCCCGACUUCCCGUUAGGUCAAGCAGCCGUCCUGAAAGGGGAUCGUGUCCAGGCCGGCUUCCUGGAGACACACCUGCGCCUGCACACACCCACCGCGGUCGCGUCACCAGUGCCGCGGCCACCUGGACGAGGACCAAAGUCUGGAGGGAAUUCCCUCAGCCAUAGAGCGAUGGGAAAGCGGGACCCGGUGGAGACUGGAGUCUUGCUAUGCUUUCCAGGCUGGUUUUGAACUCCUAACCUCAAGCGAUUUUCCUGCCUCAGCCUCCCAAAGUGCUGGGAUUACAGGCAUGAUCCACCCGGCCCUGUUGUUUUUAAGAAAAUUACAAGUUAAAUCUUGUAUCAGUGAACAAGAUAAGGGAUGGUGAUGUGGAGCUGCAAUUCCUGGUUCUAAAUCCUGGCUCCUCCCCUCAUCCCUGGGUAAGUUGAGGGAUGAGAGCAAGAGAAGGUUAAUCCUGACUCUCAGAUCUCUGCAUGGGGCAUGUCACUGAUGAUGGCGGCAUUCCCUGAGAGAGGGAACACUAAGUUUCCAGUUGGGCAUAGUGAGUACUAUUUUGGAUGAGUUAAGUUUAGAAGUGCCUGAAGACAUCC
Mandrillus leucophaeus (drill) is the source of this 728-nucleotide long non-coding RNA. RefSeq lists it as uncharacterized. Lineage: Eukaryota; Metazoa; Chordata; Mammalia; Primates; Cercopithecidae. The record is from RefSeq and is a predicted model, not a curated record. The transcript is spliced from 3 exons.